CUGAAAGGUAUUUUUGAAGAGUAUGGUGACAGAGUUUGCAUACUUAUUUUGUAACUAAGGAUAACAGGCUUUGCAACAUUUUUGCUGGGUUUUAAAGCAUACAUUGUAGGUUGAAAGACUAAUUUCUAAUUAAAACUUAUGCAUUCUCUUUCCUUUGCUCGUAAGAAGAAAGCUAUGGAUGAAAUCCACUGGAAAAAAGUGAGUUAAAAUGGGACACAGAGAGGGGGCAGGGGAAAAAUAUGUUUAUUUUUAAGUGCAGCAUGGCAUCAUUCUGUUAUAAAAAUCUGGCACAAAAUGAUUUUCUGAAGUGCUGAGAACCUACAGCUCCUUUGAAUUCAACAGGGGAUCGUAGCGCUCAGCAGACUCCUUAGGGAAUCAGGCCACAUUACUUCAACUUUCCGAAAUUUAAGCCUGCAAAACUUACUUCACAUGUCCUGUUUGGCAUAGGUGGUUGCUCUAGCUGGAGUUAAUGGGACACUUGAUCGUCAUUCAGUUGGCAUAGGUGCAGAAGAUUAGCAGCUAGGUACACACCUCAGAUAGCACAGAUGCAAUCCAUCUCACUGAAGACCAAUAAAGGCUGUAGCUUGUGCCAGUCGCACCAGGCCCCAGUUAAUGGAGGACACAGGUGCUGCUCAGGCACAGUUCAUCCUUCCCAAACCCAGCACACAAACUAAACCACAUCAGUAUUCAGGAGCCUGUGUGUGCAGCACAAACAGCAGUAGGAUGUUGCAGUGGAUGUUGCUGACUUGCAUUAGUAUCACUCUGGCUUUUGAUGCAUUUGCUUCUGGAGCUCAGAAGAAAUGGGUGGAAAGAGAGGAGUGUUGGGAAUGCAGGGUCAAAACAGGUCUGGUGGCAGCUGGAAAGAGUUGAUGCUGGAAAUUAAGUCAGACCCGUGGUGGUUGCUGCCAUGUUUCUGCACUGCCCGUAGAGCAUCGCUCCUGCUGGCCCACUGCAACAACUCCGUUUGUCAUUCUGCUAUUUGAAAUAAUGACUUUGGUAAAAUUAUGAUUUAUUUAUUUAUUUAUUUAUUUUGUUAUUAUUAUGAAAGACUGGUGUUUUCUUUACUGAUGUUGUUAAGGAGACUGUACCAUCCCUACACAUCCCACCAGCAGCAUGAUGUGUGAAGCUUAAUGGGGGCUUUGGACCUGGAGAAAGGGUCCAUGCACCCAGUGACCUGCCUGUUCUUCCUAGGCCGGUCAGUAGCCCUAAUAAAAGAUGUUUCUCCCCCCA
Molecule: long non-coding RNA, 1230 nt
Filed under: Anas platyrhynchos platyrhynchos (common mallard)
Lineage: Eukaryota; Metazoa; Chordata; Aves; Anseriformes; Anatidae
Description: lncRNA (ENSAPLG00000027646.1)
Source: RNAcentral